Molecule: long non-coding RNA, 3970 nt
Organism: Fundulus heteroclitus (mummichog)
Lineage: Eukaryota; Metazoa; Chordata; Actinopteri; Cyprinodontiformes; Fundulidae
Exons: 3
Source: RefSeq, a predicted model, not a curated record
GUGGAUUUCAUCUUUUAAUAUUGUCAAGGUGGAACCCUGUUUGUCGUAAUAACUGCAAUCACUGCCCAAAGAAUGAUUAGUUCUAGAAUGUUUCACUGAAUCACAACAAGUAAGGCCAAAGGAACUUUAGUUAAACUACUCUUGGCUCCUACUAUCUUUUUCCAAAGAUCUGUUUAUAAGACUUCCUAGAAAUGGAAGAGCAGCACACACACCAUUUCACACACACACCCCUCCAACUAGGAAGGGAGGGCUUUUGGUCCAGAGCAGCGCCUGUACACAGUAAGAUAUCAUGUUCCCAUUUACGUCAUACUGUAUCCCUAUAAAGGCUGAAAGUUACCCCAUAUUGUUGGGAUUGUUGGGACUUCUGUGAAAUGAAGAUGAUUGUAAGUCCAGAAUAAACGAAUCCCCCUGCUGGUCACUGAAGAGAAGCUGUGGUGUCUGGUCUCGUCUGUCUGUUUUUUAAGGUUAAAUCCUCUCCCACAUAAUUGGCGUUGUCGGCAGGAUAGAACAAGGGAGAGGAAAAAAGGCUUUCCACAGCAUCUACCUCCAGUGGCAAAACGGGGCCCAUUGAGAAACAGAAAAGAGGAGGUAAGUUAAGCAUACCUCUCUCUCUCUUUAUUUUUCCUUUUUUUUAACAUAAGAUUUGCCACACAGAGGUUCUGCUUUGGAAAAAGUGUAUUGAUUUUAAAGGCGAGACAAGUGAGGCAUUGCUGCUUCUUUUUGUGACCACCAGUUGUAAUUUUCCGCGGAAAAUGGAUUGUCAUAAAAUACAAAAGAUGAGGAAGCGUAGAGUCCAACACAAUUGAUUAACCGACAAUCUUAAAGAAGUGAUUGGUUACUCCCAGCCGCUUUUAUCGGAUGUCCCGUCAAAUAUGACGUUAGAAGCGACGGCGUAUAAGAAAUGAAUCGGACCAGUACGGGUCUUUGCUGAAGUUUUUCUAAUAUACAUAACUUUUUAGAAUCAAAAAAUCAUCGUGAGAGGGUGAUUUUAGAAACAUGGGCUGGUCGGAGUCUUUAGAGGUGAAGCCUCUGAGUAAGCGUGGCCGUUCUCUCUAGCUCGUACCCGUUUGUACGUGCGAGUAUUGGAAAGAUCGGGCCAUUAGUGAACUGCAGUUGUUUUGUGAAGCUGAGAUCUCCGGUUUAGGCUUUGAGGUGAGAAAAACCUCCUAUCAAAUUUGACGUAGAAAUGCAUGCAGAUUUUGUUGGGCGAGUAGUUGUAAGCGCUUGGAGAAAGAGAAAUGAGGUUUCUCUUGGAUCAUCUGUGUGGCCUUAACUGCAGUCUGGUUUUGAGUACUCUGGUUUAGGUAACGAGGUGAAAACCUCCUAUUAAAUUUGACAUAGAAGGCCUGUUCUGAAGCACGUGCAGUAUGAACUUUUUUUUACUCUUGUUUUUAUCCUUGUAUUAUGGGUCCAUUCAAAUUACAAGCCAAAAUUCACUGUGCGCACACAUAUAAAAUAAGAGAAUUGGACAUCUGGACCAUCAGGAAAGUCACUAGUUUCCCAAGGAAGUGAGGCCAAAGAAAAAAAAAGGAAAACUCUACAGGGCAGAGUUUGAAAUUCCUGUUUUUCAGAAAUUGAGAUUCUGUCCGGUUCUGGCCACCCUUUUUCUGAUGGAAGACACAUCAAAAACACGAGAAGAACAGCUGUAAGUAGAGCAUGGAGGGACGGUAUGAUAAACUAUAAAGUGAAAAUCAGACUGAUGUGAACCUCUGAUUUAAGCAAUCAAAUUUUCAAGUGACUUAAAUGGAUCUCUCUGGCAAAACAUUGUCAAAAGGUUAGUGUAAUAGUUGCUUGCGUAAACAUAUUAUUUAAUGUCACAUGGAUGCUUGUGAUCAUACCGGGAGGAUAUAGAAAGCUAAUAUUAAAACUUAAAUCUAGGUAUUACCUUUGAGGAAAGCAGGUUUCCAGGCAAUAACUUAGGAAAAAGGGAACUUAACUUUUAUUAAAAGAAAUGGGAAUAACUACUGUUAUACGAACAAGAUGUGGAAGAUUAUUUAGCUAUUUCUGGGAACAGUUCCACAAACGUUGAUCAACAGAUAACUUUAUCUUAACAGUUGACCUCUGUUGGCAAACACAGGGUGUCAUGUUCUGGAUUUUUGCUCCCUUUGCCCCACUGCCGAGGACACACAGACCUAAGAUGUUUUCCCAACUUCUGCACAGAUAUUUCCUAAUCUCUGCAAAGAAAACUGAAAAUAAACAAUGUUAAACUAGUUAUUGAUUAGCAAAUUGGGUUACAUGGCUGAAACAAAAUUUCAAGUAUUUUAAAUAAGGUUACUUUUUUCUUGAAACUGAAAUAUUAUCAUUAUUAAAAGAGAAGCAAACAUUAGCCUGAAUUAUCUUAAACUUGGAAGAGACCUGAAGUUUCAAUGUGACGUUUCUAUUAACUCUGCCAUAAUUCUACUUAAAAAGAGGAUAAAACCUAGGUACUUCUCUAUAAAAAGGAUGAGAAAGGAAAGGUGAGUUAUCCGCUAUUUCAUAAAGAAUGUGUAAACAGGAAACAACAAGAGAAGGUAGAACAUAGCCCGAGUCCCGUCCGUCUCUGAGGAAUUUUCCUUUCUAAUUAUCUUAUAGCAGCCGACAGUUAGAGAAAACAGAGGCAGUUUAUCCUAUUAUAUGGGAAACGUUGCGUAAAACUAGUCAUUAGGUGACUAUUUGAUUAACAUUUAUUUCUUGUUUGUUCACUUUUGAGCUUUCAUCGACAAGUAGUCGUUACAAAUACCUUAAGAUGGACAUGAAGUGUUGUUCAUGCACAAGUUUGGAAAGAAGUUUGGUACCCAUUAGUGAGGUCGGACUGACCUCGGAGUAAAAAACAGGAAGCAUCUGGAUAGAAGGCGAUAACAUUGUUUAACUGUAGUGUUCCAAAGAUAAGUCAAGUAGCGAAAUUAAUCGGUCUGUUUUUCUGCUUUUGAGCCAAAACGUUUACUAGAAGUCAGGGCGAUGCGGCCAAGGGUUGGAAACAUCUGGAAGCUAUUAGGCUGCUUAGUUACUGUUACAUAAGGACACAUAAGAAGACCACUUAGGAAUAAAGUGACAAAACAUGAGAUAAGCAUUCAGUAAAGCGGCAUAAUGGAGAUUAGUGUUUAAUUUGGAAUGGAGAAAAGACGCUGAAGAGCAGCACGGACGUGACCAAUACAGACCAUAAAACUCAGACCUAUGUAAAAUCAUGAUAACUAAAACAGAUUAGAAUGUGAGGGUUUUUGAGAAAGCUGGAGUAAAUGUACUAAUUCUUGAAUAUUCUUGUCAACCACUCGCACAUUAAUGAGUCACUGGCUGAGAAGGACGGACUCACCAAGGAAUGAAGGAGUUGAGGUUUAUAAUCAAGCUUAUCGCUCUGUUUAUAUCAAGAGAAUCGUUCUGUUCAGAAUGUUCCAGGCUUUAAAGAGCCAUUACGUGUUCACAAUAUCUGAAGUCCUACAUCUGGAAACACUUUCAAGUUACAAAUCCAGGAAUGGUAAUUUCUAUGAGGGUUGUACCCACAUCAAAUCUAGUGUGAAUGAUUAGCACAAAAUCAGGUUCAAAGUAAAUUAUUGUAUUAAAGUCAAAGCAGGUUGAGAAGCUGAUGAUGCAGGAUCAGUAUAACAAACUAUAAAAGGGAAAACCUUUUGUAAAGUGCAGGUAAGAGUAGAGAGAAGACAGGGUCUUCUGGUUCUAAAUCAAUGAUAGCGUUUAGACAGAAAACAUUAAAUUUUUAGAUGUUUGGAGCACCGACAAUAACUUACUACAUACGGCAUUUAAAGGGUAAAUAGGCAACAUGUAUAUUUUAUUAAAGGAAAGUAAUAAUCAAGCGGUUAUAGUUACUCUGAUGAACACUCUGAUCAUAAUAUUGUGUUUAAGGACAUAAGGGGGGUGUUUAGAAUUUAUUGGCAUACUUGGUUAAGAAUAGAAGGAGUACAUUAACACUAAAUAAGAAGUUAAACUCAACGUGGUAAGGGCGACUCACGUGGAAGUAAAUACUAUUUAGUGGUUUAAA